UGAGGAAUAUUGGUCAAUGGACGAGAGUCUGAACCAGCCAAGUAGCGUGAAGGAUGACUGCCCUAUGGGUUGUAAACUUCUUUUAUAUGGGAAUAAAGUGGUCCACGUGUGGACUUUUGUAUGUACCAUAUGAAUAAGGAUCGGCUAACUCCGUGCCAGCAGCCGCGGUAAUACGGAGGAUCCGAGCGUUAUCCGGAUUUAUUGGGUUUAAAGGGAGCGUAGGCGGAUUGUUAAGUCAGUUGUGAAAGUUUGCGGCUCAACCGUAAAAUUGCAGUUGAUACUGGCAGUCUUGAGUGCAGUAGAGGUGGGCGGAAUUCGUGGUGUAGCGGUGAAAUGCUUAGAUAUCACGAAGAACUCCGAUUGCGAAGGCAGCUCACUGGAGUGUAACUGACGCUGAUGCUCGAAAGUGUGGGUAUCAAACAGGAUUAGAUACCCUGGUAGUCCACACAGUAAACGAUGAAUACUCGCUGUUUGCGAUAUACUGCAAGCGGCCAAGCGAAAGCGUUAAGUAUUCCACCUGGGGAGUACGCCGGCAACGGUGAAACUCAAAGGAAUUGACGGGGGCCCGCACAAGCGGAGGAACAUGUGGUUUAAUUCGAUGAUACGCGAGGAACCUUACCCGGGCUUAAAUUGCAGAUGAAUUAUGGGGAAACCCAUACGCCGCAAGGCAUUUGUGAAGGUGCUGCAUGGUUGUCGUCAGCUCGUGCCGUGAGGUGUCGGCUUAAGUGCCAUAACGAGCGCAACCCUUAUCUUCAGUUACUAACAGGUCAUGCUGAGGACUCUGGAGAGACUGCCGUCGUAAGAUGUGAGGAAGGUGGGGAUGACGUCAAAUCAGCACGGCCCUUACGUCCGGGGCUACACACGUGUUACAAUGGGGGGUACAGAAGGCCGCUACCUGGUGACAGGAUGCCAAUCCCAAAAACCUCUCUCAGUUCGGAUCGAAGUCUGCAACCCGACUUCGUGAAGCUGGAUUCGCUAGUAAUCGCGCAUCAGCCAUGGCGCGGUGAAUACGUUCCC
This 1017-nucleotide ribosomal RNA is filed under the name uncultured bacterium. Its description in RNAcentral is "bacterial SSU rRNA". It matches the Rfam family "Bacterial small subunit ribosomal RNA", at positions 355 to 1375 of the family's 1533-position model. The record is from RNAcentral.